This 492-nucleotide ribosomal RNA is filed under the name uncultured bacterium. RNAcentral's name for it is "partial 16S ribosomal RNA". It matches the Rfam family "Bacterial small subunit ribosomal RNA", at positions 29 to 507 of the family's 1533-position model. The record is from RNAcentral.
AGUGAACGCUGGCGGUAGGCCUAACACAUGCAAGUCGAACGGCAGCACAGUAAGAGCUUGCUCUUACGGGUGGCGAGUGGCGGACGGGUGAGGAAUACAUCGGAAUCUACUUUUUCGUGGGGGAUAACGUAGGGAAACUUACGCUAAUACCGCAUACGACCUACGGGUGAAAGCAGGGGAUCUUCGGACCUUGCGCGAUUGAAUGAGCCGAUGUCGGAUUAGCUAGUUGGCGGGGUAAAGGCCCACCAAGGCGACGAUCCGUAGCCGGUCUGAGAGGAUGAUCAGCCACACUGGAACUGAGACACGGCCCAGACUCCUACGGGAGGCAGCAGUGGGGAAUAUUGGACAAUGGGCGCAAGCCUGAUCCAGCCAUACCGCGUGGGUGAAGAAGGCCUUCGGGUUGUAAAGCCCUUUUGUUGGGAAAGAAAAGCAGCAGGUUAAUACCCCGCUGUUCUGACGGUACCCAAAGAAUAAGCACCGGCUAACUUCGUG